UAAUACGUAGGGUGCAAGCGUUAACGGAAUUACUGGGCGUAAAGCGUGCGCAGGCGGUUCGGAAAGAAAGAUGUGAAAACUUGGCAGAGCUUAACUUUGAACUGCAUUUUUAACUACCGAGCUAGAGUGUGUCAGAGGAGGUGCGGAAUUCGCGUGUAGCAGUGAAAUGCGUAGAUAUGCGGAGGAACACCGAUGGCGAAGGCAGCCUCCCGGGAUAACACUGACGCCUGCGAAAGCGUGGGGAGCAAACAGGAUUAGAUACUCCUGGUAGUCCACGCCCUAAACGAUGUCAACUAGCUGUUGGGGCCUUCGGGCCUGGUAGCGCAGCUAACGCGUGAAGUUGACCGCCCGGGGAGUACGUCGCAAGAUUAAAACUGUGGUGAAUUGACGGGGACCUGCAAUGCUGCGGAUGAUGUGGAUUAAUUCGAUGCAACGCGAAAAACCUUACCUACCCUUGACAUGUCUGGAAUCCCGAAGAUCGGGAGUGCUCGCAAGAGAACCGGAACACAGGUGCUGCAUGGCUGUCGUCAGCUCGUGUCGAGAUGUGCCGGGUUAAGUCCCGCAACGAGCGCAACCUUUGUCAUUAGUUGCUACGAAAGGGCACUCUAAUGAGACUGCCGGUGACAAAAACCGGAGGAAGGUGGGAUGACGUCAAGUCCUCAUGGCCCUAUGGUAGGGCUUCUCACACGUCAUACAAUGUCGGGACAGAGGGUCGCCAACCCGCGAGGGGGAGCCAAUCCCAGAAACCCGAUCGUGUCCGGAUCGCAGUCUGUAACUCGACUGCGUGAAGUCGGAAUCGCUAGUAAUCGCGGAUCAGCAUGUCGCGGUGAAUACGUUCCCGGGUCUUGUACACACCGCCUGUCACACCAUGGGAGUGGGUUUUACCAGAAGUAGUUAGCCUAACCGUAAGGAGGGCGAUUACCACGGCAGGAUUCAUGACUGGGGUGAAGUCGUAACAAGGCAG
RNAcentral lists this unclassified non-coding RNA (964 nucleotides) under uncultured Bordetella sp. Its description in RNAcentral is "partial 16S-23S ribosomal RNA intergenic spacer". It matches the Rfam family "Bacterial small subunit ribosomal RNA", at positions 521 to 1499 of the family's 1533-position model. Lineage: Bacteria; Pseudomonadati; Pseudomonadota; Betaproteobacteria; Burkholderiales; Alcaligenaceae. The record is from RNAcentral.